Molecule: long non-coding RNA, 537 nt
Organism: Poecilia latipinna (sailfin molly)
Lineage: Eukaryota; Metazoa; Chordata; Actinopteri; Cyprinodontiformes; Poeciliidae
Exons: 2
Source: RefSeq, a predicted model, not a curated record
GCCUUCCAACUCAGUUCAGCUGGUUGAGUUGCAUAACCAUGACCCUUUGCCUGCUGCUCCUUGACAGUUAUUUAAUAACAUGUGACGAGAGAUUCCCGCUGAUCGCUCCCAAAUAGUAAAAUAACACAAAUAACUAGGAAUUAAAAACUUGCACAAUAAGCAAAACGUCCACCCUAAAACAUGACAAAUAGAUCUGUAACUUCCCUAAAAGGGAAAACUUGAGUAUGACGGAGUGACUCGGACUGGACGAGUCCUCACACCCACCCCCCGCUGAUUGGACGGAGUUGGUUUGGUCCUUCAUGGCGUAAAGUUUCCUUCCGCAUUGAGUCCAGUCCGAGUCCAACACAAAGAGGAGAGCAGCAGCGCUGAGCGCCAAGAUGGCCGACAUGGACCCAGAGACCGCCACCAACACUGCAGGCGAAGAGGAGCCUCUCUUCAGCAACCUGGACCUCUUCCUCUUCUCUCUGAUUGUGGGCCUCGUCAUUUAUUGGUUCAUGUCCCGCAAGCAGCCGGAGCCCAUCCCCGAGUUUAAGAAGC